This 408-nucleotide ribosomal RNA is filed under the name uncultured bacterium. RNAcentral's name for it is "partial 16S ribosomal RNA". It matches the Rfam family "Bacterial small subunit ribosomal RNA", at positions 29 to 526 of the family's 1533-position model. The record is from RNAcentral.
AGUGAACGCUGGCGGCGUGCCUAAUACAUGCAAGUCGAACGGAGUGACGCACGGGUGAGUAAUGUAUAUCUAAUCUUCCCUACACUAGAGGACAACAGUUGGAAACAACUGCUACUACUCUCUAGUGUAGGUUGAGGCUAUAUUGUAUCAGCUAGUUGGUGAGGUAAUGGCUCACCAAGGGUAUGACGCAUAACUGGUCUGAGAGGAUGAUCAGUCACAUUGGAACUGAGACACGGGACAGACUCAUACGGGAGGAAGCAGUAGGGAAUAGUAGUCAAUGGGGGAAAACCGGAAGGAGCAACGCGGCGUGGAGGAUGACACGUUGCGGAGCGUAAAAUCAUGUUGUUAGGGAAGCGGUACCUAACGAAGAAGCACCGGCUAACUCCGUGCCAGCAGCCGCGGUAAUAC